RNAcentral lists this unclassified non-coding RNA (350 nucleotides) under soil metagenome. Its description in RNAcentral is "partial contains 5.8S ribosomal RNA, internal transcribed spacer 2, and large subunit ribosomal RNA". The stretch from base 1 to 120 matches the Rfam family "5.8S ribosomal RNA", at positions 35 to 154 of the family's 154-position model. The record is from RNAcentral.
GAUGAAGAACGUAGUGAAAUGCGAUAAGUAAUGUGAAUUGCAGAAUUCAGUGAAUCAUCGAAUCUUUGAACGCACAUUGCGCCCGCCAGUAUUCUGGCGGGCAUGCCUGUUCGAGCGUCAUUACAACCCUCAGGCCCCCGGGCCUGGCGUUGGGGAUCGGCGGAGCCCCCCGUGGGCACACGCCGUCCCCCAAAUGCAGUGGCGGUCCCGCCGCAGCUUCCAUCGCGUAGUAGCUAACACCUCGCGACUGGAGAGCGGCGCGGCCACGCCGUAAAACACCCAACUCUUCUGAAGUUGACCUCGAAUCAGGUAGGAAUACCCGCUGAACUUAAGCAUAUCAAUAAGCGGAG